AGCCAUGCAUGUCAGUGAAGCCUUACGGUGGAACGGCGAACGGCUCAGUAAUCGUUGCGGUAAUUUGGUCUCUGUGUGUAAACUAACCACGGUAACCUGUGGCUAAAAGCGGAGAAUAAGGCGCAACCCUAUCAGCUUGUUGGUAGUGUAAAGGACUACCAAGGCUAUGACGGGUAACGGGAAAUCAGGGUUUGAUUCCGGAGAGGGAGCCUGAGAGAUGGCUCCCACGUCCAAGGACGGCAGCAGGCGCGAAACUUGUCCACUCCUUACUGGGGAGACAGUCAUGAGACGUGAGUAUAAGACCUGAGUGUAAAGACCUUAGGGUGAAGCAAUUGGAGGGCAAGCUUUGGUGCCAGCAGCCGCGGUAACUCCAACUCCAAGAGUGUCUAUGGGGGAUGCUGA
RNAcentral lists this ribosomal RNA (402 nucleotides) under Enterocytozoon bieneusi. RNAcentral's name for it is "SSU rRNA". It matches the Rfam family "Microsporidia small subunit ribosomal RNA", at positions 46 to 442 of the family's 1311-position model. The record is from RNAcentral. Lineage: Eukaryota; Fungi; Microsporidia; Enterocytozoonidae.